CCGUACACAAAAGCGCAUGUGCUGUGAGCUCGAUGAGUAGGGCGGGACACGUGGUAUCCUGUCUGAAUAUGGGGGGACCAUCCUCCAAGGCUAAAUACUCCUGACUGACCGAUAGUGAACCAGUACCGUGAGGGAAAGGCGAAAAGAACCCCGGCGAGGGGAGUGAAAAAGAACCUGAAACCGUGUACGUACAAGCAGUGGGAGCACAGGUUUACCUGUGUGACUGCGUACCUUUUGUAUAAUGGGUCAGCGACUUAUAUUCUGUAGCAAGGUUAACCGUAUAGGGGAGCCGGAGGGAAACCGAGUCUUAAUUGGGCGUUAAGUUGCAGGGUAUAGACCCGAAACCCGGUGAUCUAGCCAUGGGCAGGUUGAAGGUUGGGUAACACUAACUGGAGGACCGAACCGACUAAUGUUGAAAAAUUAGCGGAUGACCUGUGGCUGGGGGUGAAAGGCCAAUCAAACCGGGAGAUAGCUGGUUCUCCCCGAAAGCUAUUUAGGUAGCGCCUCGUGAAUUCAUCUCCGGGGGUAGAGCACUGUUUCGGCUAGGGGGCCAUCCCGGCUUACCAACCCGAUGCAAACUGCGAAUACCGGAGAAUGUUAUCACGGGAGACACACGGCGGGUGCUAACGUCCGUCGUGAAGAGGGAAACAACCCAGACCGCCAGCUAAGGUCCCAAAGUCAUGGUUAAGUGGGAAACGAUGUGGGAAGGCCCAGACAGCCAGGAUGUUGGCUUAGAAGCAGCCAUCAUUUAAAGAAAGCGUAAUAGCUCACUGGUCGAGUCGGCCUGCGCGGAAGAUGUAACGGGGCUAAACCAUGCACCGAAGCUGCGGCAGCGAACGUAUCACCCAAGACAACUUUACGGAGUUGACGAUUGACGGAGCGAAGCGACGUCAAAGCGUUCAUUAAAGUCGAGUUGGCUUAGGGAUACGUUCGUUGGGUAGGGGAGCGUUCUGUAAGCCUGUGAAGGUGUGUCGUGAGGCAUGCUGGAGGUAUCAGAAGUGCGAAUGCUGACAUAAGUAACGAUAAAGCGGGUGAAAAGCCCGCUCGCCGGAAGACCAAGGGUUCCUGUCCAACGUUAAUCGGGGCAGGGUGAGUCGACCCCUAAGGCGAGGCCGAAAGGCGUAGUCGAUGGGAAACGGGUUAAUAUUCCCGUACUUGGUGUUACUGCGAAGGGGGGACGGAGAAGGCUAUGUUGGCCGGGCGACGGUUGUCCCGGUUUAAGCGUGUAGGUGUGUGUUCCAGGUAAAUCCGGUUCACUUUAACACUGAGGCGUGACGACGAGGCACUACGGUGCUGAAGCAACAAAUGCCCUGCUUCCAGGAAAAGCCUCUAAGCAUCAGGUAACAUCAAAUCGUACCCCAAACCGACACAGGUGGUCAGGUAGAGAAUACCAAGGCGCUUGAGAGAACUCGGGUGAAGGAACUAGGCAAAAUGGUGCCGUAACUUCGGGAGAAGGCACGCUGACAC
This 1467-nucleotide ribosomal RNA is filed under the name Salmonella enterica subsp. enterica serovar Typhimurium. Its description in RNAcentral is "partial 23S ribosomal RNA". It matches the Rfam family "Bacterial large subunit ribosomal RNA", at positions 373 to 1757 of the family's 2925-position model. The record is from RNAcentral. Lineage: Bacteria; Pseudomonadati; Pseudomonadota; Gammaproteobacteria; Enterobacterales; Enterobacteriaceae.